GACGAACGCUGGCGGCGUGCCUAAUACAUGCAAGUUGAGCGCUGAAGGUUGGUACUUGUACCAACUGGAUGAGCAGCGAACGGGUGAGUAACGCGUGGGGAAUCUGCCUUUGAGCGGGGGACAACAUUUGGAAACGAAUGCUAAUACCGCAUAAAAACUUUAAACACAAGUUUUAAGUUUGAAAGAUGCAAUUGCAUCACUCAAAGAUGAUCCCGCGUUGUAUUAGCUAGUUGGUGAGGUAAAGGCUCACCAAGGCGAUGAUACAUAGCCGACCUGAGAGGGUGAUCGGCCACAUUGGGACUGAGACACGGCCCAAACUCCUACGGGAGGCAGCAGUAGGGAAUCUUCGGCAAUGGACGAAAGUCUGACCGAGCAACGCCGCGUGAGUGAAGAAGGUUUUCGGAUCGUAAAACUCUGUUGGUAGAGAAGAGCGUUGGUGAGAGUGGAAAGCUCAUCAAGUGACGGUAACUACCCAGAAAGGGGCGGCUAACUACGUG
RNAcentral lists this ribosomal RNA (497 nucleotides) under uncultured bacterium. Its description in RNAcentral is "partial 16S ribosomal RNA". It matches the Rfam family "Bacterial small subunit ribosomal RNA", at positions 28 to 507 of the family's 1533-position model. The record is from RNAcentral.